CCUACGGGCGGCAGCAGUGGGGAAUAUUGGACAAUGGGCGAAAGCCUGAUCCAGCCAUGCCGCGUGUGUGAAGAAGGCCUUCGGGUUGUAAAGCACUUUCAGUGGGGAAGAAAGCCUUGGGGCUAAUGCCCUCGAGGAAGGACAUCACCCACAGAAGAAGCACCGGCUAACUCCGUGCCAGCAGCCGCGGUAAUACGGAGGGUGCGAGCGUUAAUCGGAAUUACUGGGCGUAAAGCGCGCGUAGGCGGUCUGAUAAGCCGGUUGUGAAAGCCCCGGGCUCAACCUGGGAACGGCAUCCGGAACUGUCAGGCUAGAGUGCAGGAGAGGAAGGUAGAAUUCCCGGUGUAGCGGUGAAAUGCGUAGAGAUCGGGAGGAAUACCAGUGGCGAAGGCGGCCUUCUGGACUGACACUGACGCUGAGGUGCGAAAGCGUGGGUAGCAAACAGGAUUAGAUACCCUUGUAGUC
Molecule: ribosomal RNA, 465 nt
Filed under: Vreelandella stevensii
Lineage: Bacteria; Pseudomonadati; Pseudomonadota; Gammaproteobacteria; Oceanospirillales; Halomonadaceae
Description: partial 16S ribosomal RNA
Rfam family: Bacterial small subunit ribosomal RNA
Source: RNAcentral